Long non-coding RNA from Salarias fasciatus (jewelled blenny), 497 nucleotides. RefSeq lists it as uncharacterized. Lineage: Eukaryota; Metazoa; Chordata; Actinopteri; Blenniiformes; Blenniidae. The transcript is spliced from 3 exons. The record is from RefSeq and is a predicted model, not a curated record.
CCACGGACCACAGACAGAGCUCAGAGAACUGCAACAACCUCACCAAAUUCACCAGAAGGAGCUGGACGUCGUGAUGACAAUGUGGAACACCGGGAUCCAGCCAGGCACUAAAAGAUACGAUCCCUUCCAUGGAAAACCUUUCCUCUGUAUCAUGUACCAGAACUUUACCGAGCACAGGACGACCUCCAGCCAGUGGACAGAGGGAACAUUGUCUUGGAAGAGGACAUCUGUCUUUGGAAAACUGACUUUGUCUGUGAUCCAUAUCUUCACCAGCUCUGCCUUGUGGUCAUAAAUAAACUGAAUCUUGAGGCAGGUCAUAAUGCUGCUGAGGCAACCAGACUGUACAGACAGCUGAAGACUUAAUGAGAACACAGCUGUCAGUCAGAUUAACCCCCACCUACCAAAACUGUUGCCACAACAGCCAAUAUUAAAAACUUUAGCCUACCGCUUUGAGCACACUUCCAUUUCCAGUGUUUCAUACACCCCUGUUUUCUGAU